RNAcentral lists this long non-coding RNA (1531 nucleotides) under Stegodyphus dumicola. RNAcentral's name for it is "uncharacterized LOC118191522, transcript variant X1". The record is from RNAcentral. Lineage: Eukaryota; Metazoa; Arthropoda; Arachnida; Araneae; Eresidae.
UGGAGUUGCAAAACAGGUGGAGGUGGAACUACUGCUGACGUCUUGCGCAACGUCGUCAUCUUUGAAGUCCAUUGUUCUGCGAUAGAGUCAGGAGUAAAGAAAUAAGAGGAGCGCUGGGCAUUGCUACGAUCUCACAGGAUCACUAGGAUGAAAAGGCAACGGGAUUCCUCCUGAAAGAAGCAGUUGACUGAUCUAAUCAUUACAGAUCCACCAGAGACUGAAUGGAUAAAACUGCUGAAAGUGAUAGUGGACUCAAAUUUAAACUGGAUUGAACUACCUCUUUCGGGUGAUUGGAUUAACUGCAGAGUAUUUUCGAGACUCCCCACGACUGUAAGGUGAAUACGAAUCAGUUUUCUAUAGAAACAUCUAUGAAGAUAUUCCUCCUUUUGAAAAGAUAUCCUCUGCAUGCUUUGCGACAAUUUAUUAAACAAGUAAACAAAGAAACUUUAUUUUAAGGAACUAUAUUGAUACUGUACAGGGUGUACCGUAAAUGUUGCGAUAAACUUCUGGGAAAGGUAGGCCACAUCGUGAGGAACCCCAUGCCCAGAAACGUCACUGUACGCCGCCAGGGGGUGCUCUACAGGAGAAUGCUAGUGGAAAGUAAGGAUUGCCUCAUUCGAGCAAUAGCCACCAUACGAAGAGCAUAGAACACUAAACGAACGGAGAGCUUGCGUACAUGUACUUAGUGUAUAGAAUAGCUGAGGGUGAUGGAGGAACCGCUGCACGCAUUUAUCGAGAACGCUUCUCCGACAGAUAUCAACCAUACCACAGUUUGUUUGGACGUCUGCUUCAAAAUUUGUGCGACUACGGGUCUUUAAGAAGUGGACUCAUUUUGGACUGAAUGUUCGUAGCCAUUUGAACAGAUCAUUCCCGCAUCGAUGAACUGGGCGUGGUGGACCGGUUCCCUGGCCCCCACGCUCACCGAAUUUAUAGAGUCUUGAUUUCUUUUUAUGAGGAGCCAUCAAAAGUGUCGUGUAUCACGAUCCUGUUGUGUCUGAAAUGGAUAUCUUGGCAAGACUAAUCUGCGCAGCUGCUACAAUCAAAGAAACUCCCAGUGUGUUUGAACAAGUUCAGCAAUCAAUGGUCCGUUGUCGUCUGAUGGUGUAAACUUCGAGCAUUUGUUGUAACAUUAAAGCUGUCGAAACACCAUUUGUAUUCAUGUCGUCCAAUAAAUAUUUUAAAUUAAUCACUCUCUUGCUUUCUUUCCCAUCUUCUACCUCUGCUACCACUUAGACAUUUCCGGGUAUAGGUUCCUAAGCAAUUCUUAAUCUUAAUGAUGUGCACUACCUCUCUAGAAGUUUAUCGCAACAUUUACGAUACACCCUGUAUAUCAAGGACUGAUAUCUUAUAAAAUAAAUCUUAUAGCUGUUCUUUUUGGCAUACCCUCAAAUACCAUAUCAGUACUUACAUAUUAUUCCGUCGAACGUGAAAGUUGGCUACCAUCGAGCCGUGGAAGCUGGCGAAGAUCCUGCCAAAGUUGCUCCAAUCAUUCCUGCAAAAUUCUGAAGGAACUGUAGCCUCUUUAAUAAAC